This 628-nucleotide ribosomal RNA is filed under the name uncultured bacterium. RNAcentral describes it as "bacterial SSU rRNA". It matches the Rfam family "Bacterial small subunit ribosomal RNA", at positions 1 to 640 of the family's 1533-position model. The record is from RNAcentral.
AAUUCGAUUGAGUUUGAUCAUGGCUCAGGACGAACGCUGGCGGCGUGCUUAACACAUGCAAGUCGAACGGUGAUGAGGAGCUUGCUUCUCUGAUCAGUGGCGAACGGGUGAGUAACACGUGAGCAAUCUGCCCUUGACUCUGGGAUAAGCGUUGGAAACGACGUCUAAUACCGGAUACGACUCUUGGAGGCAUCUCUGGGGGUGGAAAGAAUUUUGGUUAAGGAUGAGCUCGCGGCCUAUCAGCUUGUUGGUGAGGUAAUGGCUCACCAAGGCGACGACGGGUAGCCGGCCUGAGAGGGUGACCGGCCACACUGGGACUGAGACACGGCCCAGACUCCUACGGGAGGCAGCAGUGGGGAAUAUUGCACAAUGGGCGAAAGCCUGAUGCAGCAACGCCGCGUGAGGGACGACGGCCUUCGGGUUGUAAACCUCUUUUAGUAGGGAAGAAGCGUAACAGUGACGGUACCUGCAGAAAAAGCACCGGCUAACUACGUGCCAGCAGCCGCGGUAAUACGUAGGGUGCAAGCGUUGUCCGGAAUUAUUGGGCGUAAAGAGCUCGUAGGCGGUUUGUCGCGUCUGCUGUGAAAACCCGAGGCUCAACCUCGGGCCUGCAGUGGGUACGGGCAGA